RNAcentral lists this ribosomal RNA (253 nucleotides) under uncultured bacterium. RNAcentral describes it as "partial 16S ribosomal RNA". It matches the Rfam family "Bacterial small subunit ribosomal RNA", at positions 524 to 776 of the family's 1533-position model. The record is from RNAcentral.
UACGGAGGGGGCUAGCGUUGUUCGGAAUUACUGGGCGUAAAGCGCACGUAGGCGGCUUUGUAAGUUAGAGGUGAAAGCCCAGGGCUUAACCCUGGAAUUGCCUUUAAGACUGCAUCGCUAGAAUCGUGGAGAGGUGAGUGGAAUUCCUGGUGUAGCGGUGAAAUGCGCAGAUAUCAGGAGGAACACCAAUUGCGAAGGCAGCUCGCUGGAACGUAACUGACGCUGAGACGCGAAAGCGUGGGGAGCAAACAGG